Molecule: ribosomal RNA, 370 nt
Filed under: uncultured organism
Description: bacterial SSU rRNA
Rfam family: Bacterial small subunit ribosomal RNA
Source: RNAcentral
CAGAGGGUGCGAGCGUUAAUCGGAAUUACUGGGCGUAAAGCGCGCGUAGGCGGCUUUGCAAGUCGGGUGUGAAAUCCCCAGGCUUAACCUGGGAACUGCAUUCGAGACUGCAUUGCUAGAGUAUGGGAGAGGGAAGUGGAAUUUCCGGUGUAGCGGUGAAAUGCGUAGAUAUCGGAAGGAACAUCAGUGGCGAAAGCGACUUCCUGGACCAAUACUGACGCUCAUGUGCGAAAGCGUGGGGAGCAAACAGGAUUAGAUACCCUGGUAGUCCACGCCAUAAACGAUGAGAACUGGAUGUCGGGAGGGUCUGCCUCUCGGUGUCGUAGCUAACGCGUUAAGUUCUCCGCCUGGGGAUACGGCCGCAAGGUUG